AGUGUGAGGGAGGUGGGCAGGGCGCGCGUUUUCCUGGUGCGCGGCGAGAGUGCGUCUCCUUCGGAGCUGCUGCUUGGGCGGCGCUCGGCCGGCGGGGUCCGGCAGGAGGGGCUUGGCUAAGGCGCGGUUGGUGGAGGGACCUCUCGGCGCCUCCUCGAUGCGAGGCGAGCCGCUCCGGGAUCCCGCGAGCUGGCUGCUUCUUCCAGCCUCUUUCUCUCCCGGGUGCCUGGAUGCGCUGGGAGCUGCUCUCGCUCUUUUGGGGCUAGCCCGGAGAGAGACAGAGAUCGCGCGCCUCGCCGGGCACAAAUGCGGGGGAUCGUGCGCAUUUCUCGGCUGGCUGCUGCAGGUCGGCGGAGUGUCUGCAAAGGGUGGCGUGCGGGUUAUUAUGGCCCCCACGACCUGGACUCAUCUUCCCCGUUGGACAAGGAAGGACCCCGCUGCGUUGGAUUUAUGCCUCUAGGAUGUUCAAGCAUCGCCCUUCCGAGAAGAGGGCAUCUGCUGGAGAGGAGGGAAGAUGCUAGCAAGAACACCUGGGGAGAGUCUGGCCCCUUGGUCUCCCUCGGGCCUGGAUUAUUGUGGUACCUCUGCCUCGCAACGAUGGUUUUUGCGCACCCCGGUUAGGCUUGGACACCUUUGCCUGACGCAAAAUCCGGUGCGCUUUGGAGCUGAUCGGCUUGGUGUCCUCUCCGUCCCCGCAUUCAUAUUUGGAAUAUAAUUCUUGCUGCGCUUUUCGCAGCAGCCUCUCUCCACAUGGGGGAUGCCCUCCAGGUAAGUUUCCUGCUUGCCCUCGAUUGCUUUGGAUUCUCUGGGAAGCGGGGGCGUGAGGAUGAGGGGCAGCUGGUGCUCUUCGUCUUGGCAUCUCGGCUCCAACGUGGAUGAUGGAGCGCUUUCUGUUGUUACUGGUUUUUAAACAGUUCUGCCAGUGAUUGUUUUACACGAACCACCAAUGUGUAUGGAUGUACGUGAUGCUCUUAAGGAAUAAUAAGCGGGCGAAUCCCCAGCACUGUGAUGAGGGUGAGCGUAAAAAUCAUUCGCCUUUCUCUCCAUAUCGCGUUCCAGGAAGUUUCGCUUUAUUAUCACUUUGCAUUCAGGGCCCGUUACUUGAAGGCUUGUAUUAGCGAGGGAACAGCGCCUACCCACCGCAGGGAAGCUCCAGGCAGCCCGCAAUCCGGUGAGAUGGAGCCGCGAAUGGAUACAGACGAGCCUUGCGCGCGGCGCCCUGACUGGUGCUAUUCUGGGGUGUUUUGCUUGGGGGUGUCGAGAAAAAGCGGCGAGGCGAGCGAGUCAUGUAGGAAAUGGCAUCUGGGGAGAGGAAGUGCAUUAUGUGCCUGGCGGUGGGUGUGAGGAUGAAACGCACCUGUCUUUGGGGAAAGCCCUGUGCAAUGUUUGUGGCUUAUCCGUGCACAUAAUUCAAAAGUGUUCAUCUAAUAUUUUUUUUGGGGGGGGGUGUGAAGAACCUUGCAUAAUAUUUCCUUCUUUCCUUCUUCCUUACUUUUCAAAAAUAAGAUCUAAUGAAAAGCAUGCAUGUGUUGGAGUUGUUGGAACGGUCAUGUCCUGUUAUGCAGGCGAGCGAGCCCAGUGGCUUGAUCACAAAGCCUUGCAGUUCUUCCGUAGAUGCACACAUGCAAUGCUUUGUCUGUUUGUUUCCCCAACACAAAUUUUGGUUGUGCCUCCUUUCCCAACAUGGGUUUUCCCCCCCAGUCUCCUGUGCCUCCUUAUUUUGUCCCUGGGGACACAGGUGCUGUUAACCUUGCUCUGUAACUUAAUACUGAGUCCUUCAUCUGUGUAAAUGGGCUCUAAUGGUUUGCUUUAGGCUUCUGUCUUCUAUAUAAUCAGCUUUUGUUUUCAUUAGGGUAGCCAAUAUGCUCCUUCUUUUUCUUCCUUCCUGGGUGCCUCUCUGAUCUCAGGAGUUUCUUCCCACUAGGACAUAUUUCAUGCACCCUCUAGCCAGGGUGUGCAAAGCUAGAAUUCCCUCCUCAGCCUUCCUCUAUGUUUCAGUGACUCACCUGCCCAAGAGGCAGAGGCAGUUUAUCUUGUUCGCUGACAGCACUACUAGCUCCAUGGUGAGGUUUGCCGACCCCUGCGCUUGUACUGGGAUGCUACACACUGCCUCACCACCGCAGCCUUUUUAUAGAGCUCUUGUGGGAACUGGUGCAAUCUUGUCGCCCAUGAAUCUUAUUUAUGGCAAGAAUGCCUUAAACCACAUUUCUUAGCUUGACAAGGAUCUUGGAUCGAAUGUCUCUUUUGCAUUGCUUCCCUUCCUUUCACCAUCACUUGCGCCUGUUCUUGCUUCUGGGAGCACAUUAGUGAAACUUGAUUUGAAUGAUCUUAUAGGAGCCAUUUGCUCCCAAGGCAGCGCCAAAUGUCCGUUAGAUAUGCAUAAACAUGUUUUAGUCUCUUGCAAUGGCGUGAAUGCAUUUCCAUCCUCUCAGAUUUUUUUACAUUUGUCGUCUCCCAAGACAGAGCAUUUAUGUUUUCAGUGGUGGUGGUGAAGUCAGUAGAGGUGACUGGCAGGAAGGUCAUAGGAGGUUAGAUACAAGGAAGAAUAUCCAAAUCAUUCAAGAUAGAUAGAUUAGUGCAUGGUUUUCUUUGUAUGGCAGACAGCUCAUCCAACUCUCAAAGCUCACAUGUCUGAGAUUUCAGCCUCUGCAGGAAUGCAUUCAUUUGGGAAGUGUGUAGACUACCUUGAAGGAAAGGUGGUGUAGAAAUGUAAAAAAUAAAAGGGUCUGUGUUGUCGGUGUAAUCUUUUAGGCAGUUCCAGCAUGAUAGUUUCCUUUCCAUCACUGUACUAAUUUUGGGGGGGAUUGGAACAUCAUUUCUUGUAUUUCAACUGCAACCUUAUAGUGAAAAUGAAUGAGGCUCAUGUUCCUACACAAAUACUUGAGCAAUGGAAAUCAGCGUUAAGGAAAUUGUAGAAUCCUCUCUGUGUGUUUCAUCAGGAGGGAGAUAAAACUUCUGGCAGAGCGAUGAUUGUCUUUGCCUGGGCAUAGGGAUUUGGGCAAGCUAACAUCAAUUUUUUUUUAAAAAAAAUGGGAUCCAGUGGUGACACUGGAACUUGCACAUUGUUGCAGUUUGUGUGAUGUGACCACAACCAUUAGCUUGUUGUGUUAAACACAACAACAAAAUUCUAUGUUUGAGCAGAAGCAUACAGCAGAAGCAGAAGGUCUAACUCUGAAUAUACAUUCAUUCAGAUGCAUAUUCUAAUAAAUAUGCAUUCAUUCAGAUGUAUAUUGCAGUAAAGGUUUAUCAUCCACACAUAGUUCUGUAGCAGCAAUAUCACACACACACACACGGGUUUAUAGAUGCAAUCUUUCUCAUGGGAAUUCGAGUGGUGCUAUCAGUUUUAUUUCCUUCUUGUCUGUGAAUUGCAUUCAUUCUGACAUUGUAGAAGCCUUUCUGCAUGUGUGUGCAUGCUCAUAACCUCACGUCAACUCUCGGUGAAAUAUAUUAUCUCCUUUCUUAUUUUGCUUCUGUAAAUAAAGGCUACACCCCUCUGGUCCUGUGUUGGACAAUUACAAAGGGAUCGGGGCAAAUCCUUUUCUAAAACAGCUAGCAUAAAAUAUGUUCUGGAAAUGACGCAUGAGAUAACUCCGCAAUAAGCAAGAAGCGAAUCUUCUGGACUUUAGCCUGGCUGCUGUGCUUAAUCUCUCCCCUUUUCAAAUGGGUGUAUCAUACAAACUAUGGUGUUAUGCUUUAGCAACCAUCACUUGGGUUCAGCAACAUUUCUGGACAGUAAUAUCUUGCUAUCCCACCAGCCUGGGGUAGUUUUAAGAAAGGUAAUCAACAGCCCUGUAAGCACUUGGGAGAAUAUACCCCAAAGCAGCGCUGUUUUUCUAGAAAAGGAGGUGCUGGUACUCACAAUGAACACCUUCCUUGUUCUCUUAUAAGGGCAAUGACUCCCACCUGAGAGGUGCCGGAAGUGAGUUCAGGUGAGUUCUGGCUGAAAAAAAGCCCUGCCCCCCCCAAUGAAUAUUCAGGUAACUUGAGAAAAUAAAGAAAGCCAAAAACAAACAAACAAACAAACAAACCCCAAAAUACUUUCUCUCCAUUUAUUUUAGUUGCUAUUGCUCAUUUUCUUCCCUAAAGUAGCCCUCACAAUAAGCUUUGUUCAAGUUCCAUUCAUCUCCUCGCCACCCCAAUUCAGCCUACAAAUGUGUGUGACUAAAAGGACACCCUUCCAUAACUGCCCCAUGUCUCACAUCUUUGACAAACUGCCUGUUAGCCUACAAAUAGCCUAUGCUGCGCCAGCAAGUUGAAGGUGUAGUGCCGAGAGGUGAGUGAGGCAAACCAUCCACACCUCUGAUGUAAUAUGCAGUGCUGUUGGUCAUAGAAUCGUAGAGUUGGUAAGGAAUGUUGGAAAUGUAAAGAAAAGGAAGGGAACUUUUAUCGUAUGUGGUGGAAGUGCAGUAAGGUAAAAGCUUACUGGGACAUGAUAUAUACAAUGGUACCUCGGGUUACAUACACUUCAGGUUACAGACUCCGCUAACCCAGAAAUAGUACCUCGGGUUAAGAACUUUGCUUUAGGAUGAGAAUAGAAAUUGUGCUCCGGCGGCGCGGCGGCAGCAGGAGGCCCCAUUAGCUAAAGUGGUGCUCCAGGUUAAGAACAGUUUCAGGUUAAGAACGGACCUCCGGAACGAAUUAAGUACUUAACCCGAGGUACCACUGUAAUGCGUUAAAGAUAAUAUACAAAAGUACAUUUGUUAAAAAACCAGAAGCAUUUUUAUUGGGGAUAAUAGGUGAGGAAAUCCUGAAGAAAGACCAAAGGCUGUUCAGGUAUGCAACAACGGCAGCAAGGACUUUACUAGCUCAAAAAUGGAAGCAACAGGAGUUACCAGCGAUUCAAGAGUGGCAAAUGAAGAAGAUUGAAUAUGCAGAGCUGGCAAAGUUGACUGGGAAAAUCCAAAAUCAGCGGGUUCAAAUGUUCCAAAAAGACUGGAGUAAAUUUAUAUGACAUUUGAAGGAUAAUUGUAAACAUUUAACAACACUAGCAGGACUGACUUAAGAAACUUGUAAUGUUGAGGUUAUGUACUUUUUGACAUAUUUAUUUAAAAUUUGAUAAUUGAGAUGGAUAUAAUGUAAACAGG
Molecule: long non-coding RNA, 5084 nt
Filed under: Podarcis lilfordi (Lilford's wall lizard)
Lineage: Eukaryota; Metazoa; Chordata; Lepidosauria; Squamata; Lacertidae
Source: RNAcentral